Vicugna pacos (alpaca) is the source of this 412-nucleotide non-coding RNA. The record is from RefSeq and is a predicted model, not a curated record. Lineage: Eukaryota; Metazoa; Chordata; Mammalia; Artiodactyla; Camelidae.
UCCAGGGGGAAGGACCAAGCCUGUCUCAUUGGCCAUCCUGUGUGUCAUGUCCUGUGACCCAGUGGAUGCUCAGCAUCCUCCAGCUGAAGAAGCAGAUUGCCUUAUAUACAUGAAAGGUGAGGACACCUACUAUCCCCAUGGAGCCCAGGUGGGGCUGGGAGUCUGCUGUUUGCACAGCCGGUGGGCUCGUGUUGCUUUGGGCAUCUCUGUGCCUGAAUUCUUGCAGUACACUCGGUGUGCAUUCCAUGGUGCAUCCUUGCCUAGAAUUUAGUGGAAGCAAGUCCAUCUCAGAAGGGACAUAACUGAAGAGGGAUGGCUUUCCAGACUCUGCAGGGCAGAGAAAGCACCAGCCUGGAGAACAGCAUCUCUGAGCCCAUCCCGGGUGACCUCACAGAGAUCACCCUAAUGACCC